UGAAGAAUAAGAAUUCCGUGUAUCUGUGA
Molecule: non-coding RNA, 29 nt
Filed under: Rattus norvegicus (Norway rat)
Lineage: Eukaryota; Metazoa; Chordata; Mammalia; Rodentia; Muridae
Source: RNAcentral